RNA transcript from Onychostruthus taczanowskii (white-rumped snowfinch), 4003 nucleotides. It is a transcript of the gene named CASP2 and RIPK1 domain containing adaptor with death domain, with no coding region annotated. The transcript has 5 exons. The record is from RefSeq and is a predicted model, not a curated record. NCBI's taxonomy places the organism in Eukaryota, Metazoa, Chordata, Aves, Passeriformes, Passeridae.
CUGCGCCCGGUCACCGAGCCGGCGGCGGGAGCUUCUGCGCGGGGGAAGGAGGGGAUGGGCUUUGUCGAAGGGCUCCCGCGCGUGUGCCUAGAUAUGUUGGGAUAGAAACCCGUAAGAACACUCUAUCAGUUGCCACUACAGUUUAAUUUGAAAAAGAAAGUUUUUGAGCUCCGCCGCGGAACUUACUAAUGGGAGGAACCACCUCAGGGUAACCCUCUCACCUGGCGGCUGCUGUGCAUCCGCAGGCAGAGACUGUCCGGGUCGCAAGCACCGACGAGGGGCUCCCGGUCUUCCCCGUGAGCCCCGUCCCUCCACUCCAGCCAAGCCGGCUAGGCUCCCCCUCUCUGGUACUGCCCGGCUUUGUGUCGCUCCUGAUGUGGCGGUGCACCCAGGAGAGAAGAGGGUCUUUUUGUCCCUCUCGUUAGCUUCAGCCAAGAGGAAAGAUUUUUUAUUUCCCCCCUAAUAUCAGUAUUUAAUGGAGCGGGAAAAAGCAUAUUUCCUGCCCCGCGCUAAUUAUAGCGCGUCCUCCACCGCGCUGCCCCUUCCGUUCCCAAGCGGCCGGCGAGCCCCCGGAGCCGGCGCUGCCGGCGCACUCGCUCCGCAGCUUCUCGGGUACUCCGCUGCCCGAGAGGAGGUCUCCCGUCCCAGGAACAUGGCCCACGCCGGGCUUCCGUUCCAGUUCCUCCAGGUACGACUUCGGAGAUAACCUUACUGGAAGGCGUCCGUACGCACCGCAACGUGAAACCCGGGCAGCGCCGGGGCUGGGACCUCUGCCCCGCUCUGCUGUUUCCCCCUCCUCUCUCAUACCUUUAAGUGCUCGGCUCUCCCCCACGACCUCCUCCCUCCCCAUAAGUCACAGAGCUGCCGGCUGGGCUCGCCUGCCCCAGCCGAGGGAGCGGGGCAUCAGCGGGCUCGCCUUUGCGAUAAAGCGAGACCACCGUCUCGGGACGCCGCCUCCGCCGAGUCCCCGGCGGAGAGGAACCGAGGACAGGCUGGGCGGCGGGGGGAGGAGAUGUCCCUCCCCCGCUCCGCCGGGAGGUGAUCUCUCGCCUCGGGUCCCUCCUCUGGAUGCUGGGAAGUUCCGAAGCGGGAUCGCCAGAAACACGCUCUGCGUCGGGAGCGCCUCUCGCGGGGCUCGCCGCUAACCGCGCUCUCUCUCCGCUCGCAGGCGGCGCCCGGGCUGGGGGCCGGGACCAUGCACCCAGCGCGGCGCUGAGCCCCGCGGCGGCGAAGCGGAGCCCUCUCCUGCCGGCAGCCCCCGACCUGCGUGCGAGCGGGGCCGCGCCCGCCGCCGCCUCCCAUGACCCUGCGCUCCGCCGAGUCCCUGGAGAGCGCGGAGAGCUCCGGGGAGCGCUGGGAGCACCCCGGGGCGGCGGCGCCCGUUGCCGAGGAGUGCCGUGAGGCGGAGCAGCUGGCCGCGGCUAUGGAGGAGCUGCGGCGGGCAGGUUACCAGAUGGAUGCCAGAGACAAGCAGCUUUUACGCUCCCUGCGCCUGGAGCUCUGCACAGAGGUGCUGGUGGAUGGACUCGUUAUUCAGUAUCUCUACCAAGAAGGGAUUCUCACAGACAGUCAUGUUCAAGAAAUAAAAGCCCAAACCACUAGUCAGAGGAAAACCAUGAUGCUUCUUGAUAUUCUCCCCACCAGAGGACCCAAAGCUUUUGAUGUGUUCUUGGAUUCCUUACAGGAGUUCCCGUGGGUUAAGGACAAGCUGAUGCAGAAGCGUAAGGAAAUGACAAUACAAGAUCCUUCAGAUUUAACCGAGGUUGCACCGUGCAUUUUGAAGCUGUCACCAACAGAUCAGCAGCUGAACAAGCUGGCGAGGAGGCUGGGGCCUGAAUGGGAGCAUGUAGCUCUGUGCUUGGGUUUGUCCCAUACUGACAUCUAUCGAUGUAAAGUCAAUCACCCUCACAACCUGCAGUCACAGAUCGUAGCUGCAUUUGUCCUGUGGAAACAGCGUUUGGGGAAAAAAGCAACAAUCCAAAGUCUGCACUCCAGUCUGAUGGCAGAGGAAGUGGAUCCUUCGGUGAUACACUACAUGCUUGAGUGAAGCCAUGCUAUUUAUUCAGAGCAUCCACGUAUUUCGUUCAAUUAAGUGAAGAGGAUGGAAAUGUGGAAAACCAUCCCAGAGCAGGUGUACAGACAUUUGGCAAAUUCGUAUGAGCACAGCCCAGCCCAGGGAGUGGGAUGAGGACUUUGAAGCAAUUCUGACAGUGAGAUUGACAGGAGCAUGGUUUGCAUAUUAGGGAAGAGAGGCAAAGCACCCUUCCUGGGAGCAGUUUGGAGGAAAAAAAGCUAGAGAUCGUUGACAGGAGGAACUAUUGCAAAUGUGAUGUAGAGGAAGAAGUUGACUCCCAGUGUCAUAAAUGGGCUUUCCUGUGUCACUGUAGCUGCUUAUCUCUGGAGCCAGAAAAGAUACACGAGGAAAUGUGAAGGUACGGACAUAUUUGCACCAUGCCAGCCAAAAGAUGAGUUGUGGCCUUACUGAGGUCGAGAAUGAGGAGGAUGUGAGCUUGAAGAAAAGAAACCCUAUAAGAUGGAGACCUGACAUAAUCCCUUCACCAGCUUCACUGACUUUUAGCUAAUGAUAGGCAUGUCUCCUACACUUCUCUUAUGCUAGCGGAAUGAAGAUGGGCCUUAUUGGCAGGCAGUUCAGCCCACCUGUCAGGUAGAAGUGUAUGACAUCUUCUAGCAGGGUCUCUUUUCCACUAACUGUUGAAGGAGUAUAGAAGACUAUCUUUGGCUAAACAUUUAGUGUUAUAAAGCCAAAGAAUUCAUCUAACUUUAGACAUCUCCUGUAGUGGCACCUACAUCAGAGCUGAUCCCUGUCACAUCCUUUUACAGUCAAGGGAGAGAAGGCAGUGCCUUUUAGGUGCAAUUCCUCUACCUUUCCUCAUGCUUUUUUCCUAGGAUGAGAUGAAUUCUCACCCCAGUGACUAUAAUCGAUGCCCAGAUCAUCCAUAGGUUUGUACAUUAAUUGACAUCCCUCCCUUGUGUCAAAUCAAUGCCCCCACCCCUCACCAAAGUACCGAUUUUUGAGACAAGGUGUUUUCACCUCCUGAUGCUUCUGGCUGCCAAUGCUGAUGGCUGCUGCAUUAAUUCUGCCAUCUCACCAGCUGUGGACAUCCUGAUAAGGUGAAUUUCAGGGAGGCCUUUCUGGGGGUAAUAAAGGAUUCAUGUAUCCAAUAAAAGGAAAUUGAAGCUUGGUAGACAAGCUUCCUUGGAAAAAUACCUACUCUGUUUGUCUGAACAGUUCAUGCACAGCAAGAGGGAUUCUGAAACUAAAUGCAGCCUUGUAUUCGAGUUCUAGUCCCAGCUGUGUAAAAACACAGAGUGGAUCACUGCUACAAAAAUAUAUCUUUCAGAGGAAACCAGCAAAGAUGAGGGUGCCCAACAAAGGUGAUAAAAUGCCCAGCAAUAGAUUGUAUAUGUUAUCUUGACCAAAGUACUUGACUGUCUGCUUUGCAGCACUGCUGAGCAAAUAUGUUCCAUUUUGUGCCUUGUGAGAAGUUCAGUGGCUUGGCUUCACCCCACCACCCCCGCCACCCCCUAUACCCUUUGUUGCUAGAAUUGUAAAAGCUUGAAUUUGCAAUAGGCUUGCUUUUCCUCGUGUCUGUGUGUCUCACCUCAGUGCCAUUAAAAGUCGUGACACAUAACAGAGAAACAGCUGUGCAGGAAACUUCAGGCAUCUGUUUAAUAUUAAUUGCAUGUAUUCCUAAAAAGUCAUAGCAUGUUUUUAAAAUUUCACUGCACAUCUGGUGCGUCACUGCUAAGGAGUUUUUUUUAAUAGGUUCUAUCUGUGAGUCACUGAGAACUAUCAGCCACAAGCUGUCUAGAUACUGAGGAGACGCACAGGCAAGUAAAAUGGGAGAGAUGUUUCUAAACAGCUUCUAAAAACCCACAGUUCUGAACAAAAUGACAAAGCAACACUGACUGUUAGCUAUCCAUCAGCAGACACCAAGCUAUAGGAAAUCUAGGUUUAGGAAAGGAUAUUCUAUUAAUAAAC